UACAGAGGGUGCAAGCGUUGUUCGGAAUUAUUGGGCGUAAAGCGCGUGUAGGCGGCUUUGCAAGUCGGGUGUGAAAGCCCUCAGCUUAACUGAGGAAGUGCGCCCGAAACUGCUUGGCUUGAGUACCGGAGAGGAUGGCGGAAUUCCCCAAGUAGAGGUGAAAUUCGUUGAUAUGGGGAGGAACACCGGUGGCGAAGGCGGCCAUCUGGACGGAUACUGACGCUGAGACGCGAAAGCGUGGGUAGCAAACAGG
Molecule: ribosomal RNA, 253 nt
Filed under: uncultured bacterium
Lineage: Bacteria
Description: partial 16S ribosomal RNA
Rfam family: Bacterial small subunit ribosomal RNA
Source: RNAcentral